Molecule: ribosomal RNA, 791 nt
Filed under: uncultured bacterium
Lineage: Bacteria
Description: bacterial SSU rRNA
Rfam family: Bacterial small subunit ribosomal RNA
Source: RNAcentral
AGUUUGAUCCUGGCUCAGAUUGAACGCUGGCGGCAGGCCUAACACAUGCAAGUCGAGCGGUAGAGAGAAGCUUGCUUCUCUUGAGAGCGGCGGACGGGUGAGUAAUGCCUAGGAAUCUGCCUGGUAGUGGGGGAUAACGUCCGGAAACGGACGCUAAUACCGCAUACGUCCUACGGGAGAAAGCAGGGGACCUUCGGGCCUUGCGCUAUCAGAUGAGCCUAGGUCGGAUUAGCUAGUUGGUGGGGUAAUGGCUCACCAAGGCGACGAUCCGUAACUGGUCUGAGAGGAUGAUCAGUCACACUGGAACUGAGACACGGUCCAGACUCCUACGGGAGGCAGCAGUGGGGAAUAUUGGACAAUGGGCGGAAGCCUGAUCCAGCCAUGCCGCGUGUGUGAAGAAGGUCUUCGGAUUGUAAAGCACUUUAAGUUGGGAGGAAGGGCAGUAAAUUAAUACUUUGCUGUUUUGACGUUACCGACAGAAUAAGCACCGGCUAACUCUGUGCCAGCAGCCGCGGUAAUACAGAGGGUGCAAGCGUUAAUCGGAAUUACUGGGCGUAAAGCGCGCGUAGGUGGUUCGUUAAGUUGGAUGUGAAAUCCCCGGGCUCAACCUGGGAACUGCAUUCAAAACUGACGAGCUAGAGUAUGGUAGAGGGUGGUGGAAUUUCCUGUGUAGCGGUGAAAUGCGUAGAUAUAGGAAGGAACACCAGUGGCGAAGGCGACCACCUGGACUGAUAUUGACACUGAGGUGCGAAAGCGUGGGGAGCAAACAGGAUUAGAUACCCUGGUAGUCC